RNAcentral lists this long non-coding RNA (576 nucleotides) under Homo sapiens (human). RNAcentral's name for it is "non-protein coding lnc-ARVCF-1:4". The record is from RNAcentral. Lineage: Eukaryota; Metazoa; Chordata; Mammalia; Primates; Hominidae.
UGAGUGCAGCCCUGCCAGCCCCUACCUCUGACGCUCUGGAGUUGGGGGUGGGGGAUCUAACUACCCAAACCUCCCCAGGAAGGCCGCAUCCAGGCGCAGGGAUGACCCAGCACUUACUAUCUACUCACACCCACAUUAAGGUUUCCCUUUGCCCACAAAGAGGGAUGCAGUAACAUGUCAGAUGGUGGUUUGCAUCCCUUUUUUUUGAGAUGGAGUCUCGCUCUGUCUCCUAGGCUGCCGUGCGGUGGUGCAAUUUCAGCUCACUGCAACCUCCGCCUCCCAGGUUCAAGCGAUCUCCUGCCUCAGCCUCCCAAGUAGCUGGGACUAUGGGCGUCUACCACCAUGCCCCGCUACUUUUUUUUGUAUUCUUUUAGUAGAGAUGGGGUUUUGCUAUGUUGGCCAGGCUGGUCUCGAACUCCUGACCUCUGGUGAUUUGCCUGCCUUGGCCUCCCAAAGUGCUGGGAUUACAGGCAUGAGCCACUGCGCCCAGCCUCCCUUGUUGUGUUUCUGACCCCUGGCUGCAGCCUAAUGGGCCGACUGCUGGACAGCGGUCCUGAGUCCUGUUUGAAUUGGUGC